CAGGUGACAGAAUAAAUAAAAUUAAUGUUAAGAUAUCAAAGAUAUAAAACAUACUAUGUUUUAGGUAUAAGACUUAUAAACUUACUUUUUCAAAUAUAUUAGUGUUGUCCACCUGGAAAUAAAGCUAUAAUAUCUAAGACAGUCUUGGAGUUAUUAAAUUUUUCCUGGACUGAGACUUAAAUUCAGUUGUGAGUCCUGUGUGUGAAUGAAUAGCAUGCAAUAAUUGACUCAAGAGCAGACCAACACCUACCUGAAUGCCCUACAAAUUUGGUAUUUGAGUGGAAAACUAGGGUUUGCUUUCCAUGGAAAAAAACCUCAUGGCAGCAACAAAUCCCAAACUGAGAAACAGUGAGCCUGAUCUCACCAAAAUACCAAGAUCUCACCAAAUGGAAUAUGAGCGGAAGUGAUGAAGCAGUGGGCCACAUUUUCUCCAUGGAUGCAAAGGAUCCUUGGUGAUAUCAGAGAUAUGAAAUGGAAGGUAGCUGGAUUUAUGGACCACUGCUUGGGGGAGAUCCAACUACAAUCAGGAAGACUUAUUUAGACCAAACCCAAGCAAGAAAUAAACUUCUAUUCUGAUGAACACUGAGACGUAGGCUCCUGUGUGUUAUAGGAGAUACUAACGACUUAAUGAAUAUAAAUAAAACAGUUACAAAGAGGUGGGGGAAAUUAGUAUCCUGGUUAGUAUUAGAAACUAAGAAAAUCUGAACAUAUUAGUUGUUUCAAACAAAGUAUUUAAUAAAAGUCAAUUAAAGAAUCAAAAUAAAGCAGUAAGAAGUUGAAAGUAUGUGAAGCUGAGAAUAGAAAUCAGAAAAAAUUUUUUAAAGAUGUUAUAUCAAAAUUGAUUGACAUGUAUUGUAAUGUAUUGAUUGAAAAGUGAUAAAAUUGACAAAUUUCUUGCAUGUGUGAGAAAAAGAAAACAGAAGAGGCUUAAAACAUUUUAGGAUAAAAAGGGAGAGCUAAAUGCAGAGGUAGUAGAUAUUGAAAAAAUAUUAACAUCAUAAUAGUAUUUAGUAACUAAAAAUGCUUAAAUGUUUUUAAAAGAAAAAAUAUCGGCCAGGCGCACUGGCUCACGCCUGUAAUCCCAGCACUUUGGGAGGCCGAGGCGGGCGGAUCACGAGGUGAAGAGAUCGAGACCAUCCUGGCC
This 1144-nucleotide long non-coding RNA is filed under the name Homo sapiens (human). Its description in RNAcentral is "HSALNT0085216". The record is from RNAcentral. Lineage: Eukaryota; Metazoa; Chordata; Mammalia; Primates; Hominidae.